This 268-nucleotide long non-coding RNA is filed under the name Nicotiana benthamiana. RNAcentral describes it as "long non-coding RNA (NBEN_LNC031878)". The record is from RNAcentral. Lineage: Eukaryota; Viridiplantae; Streptophyta; Magnoliopsida; Solanales; Solanaceae.
UAAUUAUCUAAACAUAAGGAACCUAAAUACAAUCGCAUGCAAUAAUAUCAUACAGUAACUACGAAGAACUCUAGGAGCCCCUAACCUACAACCCUAAUCCUAGACCUCCAGACUCUCCUAUCAACGGUCAUAUCCUCGGAAACCUGCAUUCUAGUCAUAUCCUGCCUGAUCACCUCUCCCCAAUGCUUCUUAGGCCUCCCUCUGCCUCGCCGACCGCCAACAAUCUCCAGCCGCUCGCAGCUCCUCACCGGGGCAUCGGGACCCCUNN